Molecule: ribosomal RNA, 686 nt
Filed under: uncultured Dolichospermum sp.
Lineage: Bacteria; Bacillati; Cyanobacteriota; Cyanophyceae; Nostocales; Aphanizomenonaceae
Description: bacterial SSU rRNA
Rfam family: Bacterial small subunit ribosomal RNA
Source: RNAcentral
CGGACGGGUGAGUAACGCGUGAGAAUUUAGCUUCAGGUUCGGGACAACCACUGGAAACGGUGGCUAAUACCGAAUGUGCCGAGAGGUGAAAGGCUUGCUGCCUGAAGAAGAGCUUGCGUCUGAUUAGCUAGUUGGUGUGGUAAAGGCCUACCAAGGCGACGAUCAGUAGCUGGUCUGAGAGGAUGAUCAGCCACACUGGGACUGAGACACGGCCCAGACUCCUACGGGAGGCAGCAGUGGGGAAUUUUCCGCAAUGGGCGAAAGCCUGACGGAGCAAUACCGCGUGAGGGAGGAAGGCUCUUGGGUUGUAAACCUCUUUUCUCAAGGAAGAAGAAAGUGACGGUACUUGAGGAAUAAGCAUCGGCUAACUCCGUGCCAGCAGCCGCGGUAAUACGGAGGAUGCAAGCGUUAUCCGGAAUGAUUGGGCGUAAAGGGUCCGCAGGUGGCAUUGUUUGUCUGCUGUUAAAGAGUUUGGCUCAACCAAAUAAGAGCAGUGGAAACUACAAAGCUAGAGUAUGGUCGGGGCAGAGGGAAUUCCUGGUGUAGCGGUGAAAUGCGUAGAUAUCAGGAAGAACACCGGUGGCGAAGGCGUUUUGCUAGACCGCAACUGACACUGAGGGACGAAAGCUAGGGGAGCGAAUGGGAUUAGAUACCCCAGUAGUCCUAGCCGUAAACGAUGGAUACUA